UGUCUCUCUGGGUAAAGAUUAAAAUGUGAAAAACAGUAAUUUAUGUUCCCUAAGCAGGUAACAGAUGAGACUCCGCAGUGCUGCAUACAGAUUGAGUAGGGAUUAGGGGCCAGCUUUGGGGUCCUGGGCAGAGAUUAUUUUUCUUCUGGCCAUGGCCACCUCCCUGGCUCUUGGCAGAGUGUUUGAUGGUAAUGGUCAUUGAUUACUUUUCUGGGUGGUUUAGUGCCCCAUCUUUCCACUCUUGAACUUUGUUUCUGCAAUUUGCAGGAAACUUUACCAAAUAGCUGCUAUUGUGAGCCUGAAAGCCACUAGUAAAACAGCUUGCCGUUUUUAUGUAUAAACACCUCCAUUAUGUCUACUGCGCUUGGAGGACUGGAUGGAGGGCUGGUUAAGUGGAUCAUAAAGAGCUCUGGAGAGCUCCAUUGGCCUUCGGCUCCAGUUAGGCCUACAGUGACCCAGUGCACCCAGGGGUGCUGGCUGGGGCUGCCCUGCCCUGGUGGGAAUGGCCACCAGCUCAGCCUGCUCCAGGACCCAGGAGUCAUCGGACUUCUACCCAUGGCUCAGAGAGCCCUUGAGUCAGACCUACACUGCCCUAGGCACCCUCUUCCUCCAUUUCCUGGAUCUCUCACCAGUGACCACACCACCCAGAAGCUUUGGGGAGGGGACACUAAAGAGCUGCUAUUCCACCUCCUGCCUGGCUCUGCAAGAGCUUGAUUGCCACCACCUCCUCCCCACCUUGCAGGGCUCAAGUGUACCCGAGGUGCCCUCAGCUCUGUGUACAGCUGGCUGUGGGGGAUGCUGGUUCUCAUUGCUCUCUUUUAUGGUUCUGAUGUGAUUUUCCCCAAGGGUUCAUGUGUUGGGAGCUUGGUCCACAGCGUAGUGAUGUGAGAGGUGGUGGGACCUUUAAGAGGUGGGGGUUAGUGGGGGCUCAGUCUUUGGGUCUUUGGGGGUCCUGCUGUCAGGAUUAAGGUUGAUCUUGUAAGUCCUGAGUUAGUUUUGAGAGAGGGUUGUGAUAAAAACAGCAAGCCUAGCCCUACCCAGCUCUCCAGGAUUCUGUCUGAUAGUGUGGUCUCUUGUUCUUCUGCCUUGAUGCUAUCCACUGUUAGGCCCUCUCCAGAGACCCAUCCAAUGGGCUGCCUAACUGAAUUUUCAGCCUCCAAAACUGAGCUAAACAAACUUGUUUUCUUUAUAAAGUAGACUACCUUGGGUAUUUUGUUACAGUAACAAAGAACAAACUCAUACACCUGCCCAGCCCUUCUGACCUCCCUCCUGCAUCAGUGUGGGGAUGAAGGCCUAUGUGUAUGUGGGGUCAGCAGCAUGGACAUUGGCGUCCACAUGGCUCUGGCUUGGGGAUGGGGGUCUUUUUUCAGAGUCUUACCCUAAAAGGAGUUCUGAGCAAUGAGCCUCCACCUUUCUCCCUUCAUACCCCAGAAGUAUGAGGUUAAAGUGACCUUGCCCUGCUACUGUGGCAUCCUGGAGGGGACAUGUAACAAAUGUCCUCAGAGUCCUACCUGUGUCAGGCCAGGGCAGACACAGAAGGGCCUGUGGCAAAAAAAGCCCCAGUUUUUGCCUCCACCAGGUCUGCUGCAGAGGGGUCUGUGUGGUCUGGAACUCCCAGGGUCUCAGCCCCCUUGAGGAGAUGGCAAGAGUAUUGUGGGGCCACCCCAGCGCCUCAGAUUGGCACUGCCCCAGAAACCUGUUCUCAGCUGAGUUGACUCAUAGUGACCCAUUGCCGAUGCCACAAAUAAAAGUAACCAAGAGAUUGGAACAAGAAUAGCUUGUCACAGCCAUCUGCUGCAUGCUGGCAGCCUCAUGCCCUGAGCUGCAGGGGUUCCGGCUCUGGAGUGGCUCCUGAGCUGCCUCCCUCCAUAGUGUCCCCAAGCCCAACCCUGCUACAGUCUGUGGGCAGGGCCAUGUGGGCUGUGGGUCUGGGGCCUGGCCAAUCGCUCCCCCAUACCCUGUCCAAGAAAUGGAGGUCUUUUUUAUUCCUUCUACAGGGAAAUUUCAGAAGUAGAAUAGGAUCAAUUUAUUUGUUUUGUUUUGUUUUUUAAUUUGUUUAGCUUUGCUUUGCUGGAGUGUUUUAAAGCUGAAUCUCAGACAUCAUUAUGUCAUUUUACUUAUAAAUACUUCAGAAGGUGUCUCAAUUGAUGAGGGUGUUUUUCCCUUGGUAUAAUCACCCUGCCAUUAUCACAUCUAACCAAAUUAACAAUACAGUUGACUCUCAUAUCUGUGUGUUCUGUAUCACAUAUUCAACCAAGCAAGUGUUGGAAAUAUUUGUAGAAAAACAAUUACACCUGUCUGAACAUGUACAGGCUUUGUUUCUUGUCAUCACUCUCUAAACCAUACAGUAUAACAGCUAUUUACUUCGUACGAGGUAUUGUAAGUAACUAAGGGAUGAUUUGAAGUAUGUGGGAGGAUGCAAAUAGUUUAUUGGCAAAUAAUGUGCUAUUUUAUACAAGGGAGUUCAGCAUCCAAGGAUUUUGGUCUCUGCAGGAGGUCCUGAAACUAAUUCCCCUUUGAACUGAGGGAUGACUGUAAUUCCUUUAUAUCACCAAUAUUUUUAGUCUGUAUUGGCCAAAAACUAUCCUUUAGGAGUAGGAUUGUUCAAGCUAGGAUUCAAACAAGAGGAGAGAUGGGUUUUGUGUGUGUGUGUGUGUGGAGGGGUGGUACCAGGGAUUGAACUUGGGACCUUGCGCUUGUGACGCAGGUGGCGGAACCACUGAGCUAAAUCCCCGGCCUUCUACAUGUUGCACGUGGCUGUUGUUGGAAAGGGAGUCCUUGUUGCACUGAACUCUGGGGAGAGCUUCCCUUUGUCCUCCCACAGCUCCUUUCCCUGCGCCCCCAGGUUGGCCUCCCUGGCAGCUGCCUUUUCUGUGGACCAGUGCCCUGAAGCUGGAGACUGCAGCCAGGAGAGCACCUGGGAGGCCUGAAGAUAGUGCGCUGAUAUGACCAUUUGGAGUUUCCCUCAAUUACAGCCGAAGCCUCUGGACAUCCCGCCUGCUCCAGCUCAAGCAGGCUGAGUGCCCACCACCCAUCACCAUCCUGGACGGUCAGGCUCCUGUGGGCCCUUCAGGCCAGCCUGUUGCCUUCCCACCUCCCCUUGCGGGUUUGUUGGGUCACAAACAUUUACUGGGUAAUGACAGAUGCCAGGCCCUCUCCUAGGAGCUGGGGAGACAAAACCAAGGAAGAUUUAUCUGUAAAGCUCUAGAUGGGGAGCAAACCAAAUAAGUAAAGUGCAUAGUGUAUUUGAUGGUGACAAAUACAGUGGAAAAAAAUAAAGAUGGGUAUGAUACCAAGGGGAGCAUUGGGAGUUAUUUGCAGCUUUUCAUCACUAUUAUAAAUACCUUAAAUAAAGAGAAAACUUAAGGUUCUGGUCCAUAA
Non-coding RNA from Heterocephalus glaber (naked mole-rat), 3381 nucleotides. The record is from RefSeq and is a predicted model, not a curated record. Lineage: Eukaryota; Metazoa; Chordata; Mammalia; Rodentia; Bathyergidae.